GGCCAAGUAGCUCAGUUGGUAGAGCAGCGGAUUGAAAAUCCGCGUGUCGGUGGUUCGAUUCCGCCCUUGGCCACAA
This 76-nucleotide transfer RNA is filed under the name Piscinibacter aquaticus. Its description in RNAcentral is "tRNA-Phe". It matches the Rfam family "tRNA". From Rfam's summary of the family: Transfer RNA (tRNA) molecules are approximately 80 nucleotides in length. The record is from RNAcentral. Lineage: Bacteria; Pseudomonadati; Pseudomonadota; Betaproteobacteria; Burkholderiales; Sphaerotilaceae.